UUGUAAAGUACUUUCAGUCGUGAGGAAGGCGGCGUCGUUAAUAGCGGCGUUUGUUUGACGUUAGCGACAGAAGAAGCACCGGCUAACUCCGUGCCAGCAGCCGACGGUAAUACGGAGGGUGCGAGCGUUAAUCGGAAUUACGUGGGACGUAAAAGCGCAUGCAGGUGGUUUGUUAAGUCAGAUGUGAAAAAGCCCGGGCUCAAACCUCGGAAAUUGCAUUUUAGAAAAACUGGCAGACUAGAGUACUGUAGAGGGGGUAGAAUUUCAGGUGUAGCGGUGAAAAUGCGUAGAGAUCUGAAGGAAUACCGGUGGCGAAGGCGGCCCCUGGACAGAUACUGACACUCAGAUGCGAAAGCGUGGGGAGCAAACAGGAUUAGAUACCCUGGUAG
This 389-nucleotide ribosomal RNA is filed under the name uncultured bacterium. RNAcentral describes it as "bacterial SSU rRNA". It matches the Rfam family "Bacterial small subunit ribosomal RNA", at positions 423 to 793 of the family's 1533-position model. The record is from RNAcentral.